This 400-nucleotide ribosomal RNA is filed under the name uncultured bacterium. Its description in RNAcentral is "bacterial SSU rRNA". It matches the Rfam family "Bacterial small subunit ribosomal RNA", at positions 355 to 752 of the family's 1533-position model. The record is from RNAcentral.
UAGGGAAUAUUGGUCAAUGGAGGCAACUCUGAACCAGCCAUGCCGCGUGAACGAUGACGGCGCUAUGCGUUGUAAAGUUCUUUUAAAUAGGAAGAAAACCCCUCAUUUAUGAGGGACUGACGGUACUAUUGGAAUAAGCACCGGCUAACUCCGUGCCAGCAGCCGCGGUAAUACGGAGGGUGCAAGCGUUAUCCGGAAUCACUGGGUUUAAAGGGUGCGUAGGCGGGGCGGUAAGUCAGAGGUGAAAUCUCAUUGCUUAACAAUGGACUUGCCUUUGAUACUGCUGUUCUUGAAAUAUGUUGAGGUUGGCGGAAUGUGACAUGUAGCGGUGAAAUGCUUAGAUAUGUCAUAGAACACCGAUUGCGAAGGCAGCUGACUGGACAUUAUUUGACGCUGAGGC